This 433-nucleotide ribosomal RNA is filed under the name uncultured bacterium. RNAcentral's name for it is "partial 16S ribosomal RNA". It matches the Rfam family "Bacterial small subunit ribosomal RNA", at positions 29 to 507 of the family's 1533-position model. The record is from RNAcentral.
AACGAACGCUGGCGGCAGGCCUAACACAUGCAAGUCGAGCGAGGACUUCGGUCCUAGCGGCGGACGGGGGAGUAACGCGUGGGAACGUGCCCUUUUCUUCGGAAUAGCCCUGGGAAACUGGGAGUAAUACCGGAUGAGCCCUUUUGGGGAAAGAUUUAUCGGCGAAGGAUCGGCCCGCGUUGGAUUAGGUAGUUGGUGGGGUAAUGGCCUACCAAGCCGACGAUCCCUAGAUGGGUUGAGAGGAUGAUCAGCCACACUGGGACUGAGACACGGCCCAGACUCCUCCGGGAGGCAGCAGUGGGGAAUCUUAGACAAUGGGGGAAACCAUGAUCUAGCCCUGACGCGUGAGCGAUGAAGGCCUUAGGGUUGUAAAGCGCUUUCAGCUGGGAAGAUAAUGACGGUACCAGAAGAAGAAGCCCCGGCUAACUCCGUG